AGUAUUAAACACUACUUGUUUAGUUAUGUUUAAGAGAAGUUUUUAGUGUUAUUUUUUCAUAUAAAUCACAGUGUCAAAUGCCUGUGUGGUAAAACUAAAGAUCAUGUUUCUCCAGGGAUCAAAUCAGAUUUGUUAGUUAAUCAUAUGGAUCUAUUAUAGAUAUAAUAGAUCCAUAUCAAUCAUAUAUAGAUGGAUCUUCUUUUCAUUUAAAUCAAUUUAAAGUAGACUUUAUUGAUACCUUUAUUAUGUUAUGAUACAGUAUAAGCAUGCUAGUAAAAUAAUUUGAAAUCUACAUGAAGUAGGUAUAUAAACUAUAAAAUACACCGUUUUACUAUCGUCAAUCUUUUAUUGAAAUCAAUUUGGUCCGUGGUCCUGAAAUAUUUAUCAAUAUGAGAUAAUUGUGAAUUAGGUAGUUUGUUUCUCUAGCAUAAUCAAUUUGAAAUCAAAGGAAAAAUAUAUUAUUUUAUAUUUAUAUUAUUAUUUUUCAGAAUGUUGUACAAAAGAUGUUCCAUGAUUUCUAUCGUGGUGUGGCUGCUUCUAUUGCCUAAAGUCGCCACUGGGCCAAAAACAGUUCCAGCAGGGUGAGUUAUACAGAGGGAAAUGGUGAUCGGUCUAUACCAGUUGAGCAUUCGUGUAACCGCUUGCCUUAUAUCCUGAAAGAUACGGAACUACGAUUUAGUUACAGUGCUGAUCAUUUGAUGGAACGCAAAUGUGUUGUAACUAUUUCAGCACAUGAUAAAGUGUGCGUCAGUUUCGUGGAGUAUUAUCUUGAUUGUGAAACUGACAUUAUUCUUGCAGAAAGUAUCAAGUCUGUUGAGAAAAAGACUUACAGGUGUGACACUAAACAUUCGGCAGACUUCUGUUCCUCUAAACCAACCCUGCAAAUAAUUUUUACAACGGAAGAAAGAUCUGCACAAAGACGGAUUUGGAUAUGCUGAACUGAGGGUUUAUGGCAC
RNA transcript from Ruditapes philippinarum (Manila clam), 956 nucleotides. RefSeq lists it as uncharacterized. The record is from RefSeq and is a predicted model, not a curated record. The transcript is spliced from 4 exons. NCBI's taxonomy places the organism in Eukaryota, Metazoa, Mollusca, Bivalvia, Venerida, Veneridae.